AUGGGGGAGAAUAUGGGGUCAUAUGGAGUUAUAUGGGGGAAUACAGAGUCAUAUGGGGGGAAUAUGGAGUCAUAUGUGGAAAUCCCUUAUUUUUGGGGUCUUUGGGGUCUUUUUGGGGUCUGGACCCCCCCACUGACCUGUCUCCCCCCAUUCCCACUUAUGGGGUGCUGCUGUGGGGCCUUUAUGGGGGAAAUAAUGGGGUUGUGGUGGAAAACUGUGGGAUUUGGGGUAAAAAUCCCAUAUUUUAUGGGGUAUUUGGGGUCUUUUUGGGGUCUGGACCCCCCCACUGACCUGCCUACCCCAUUCCCACUUAUAGGGCGGUGCUAUGGGGUUGGGACCAGUGUCUUUAUGGGGGAAAUAAUGGGGUUGGGGUGGAAGACUGUGGGAUUUGGGGUAAAAAUCCCACAUUUUAUGGGAUAUUUGGGGUCUUUUUGGGGUAUUUGGGGGGGUUUUGGGGUCUUUGGGGUCUUUUUGGGGUCUUUUUGGGGUCUUUUUGGGGUCUUUGGGGUCUUUUUAGGGUCUGGACCCCCCCCCACUGACCUGUCCCCUCUAUUCCCAUCUAUGGGGUGCUGCUGUGAGGCCUUUAUGGGGGAAAUAAUGGGGUUGGGGUGGAAAACUGUGGGAUUUGGGGUAAAAAUCCCAUAUUUUAUGGGGUCUUUGGGGUCUUUUUGGGGUAUUUGGGGGGGUUUGGGGGUCUUUUUGGGGUCUUUGGGGUCUUUUUGGGGUCUGGACCCCCCCCAAACUGUGGAUUUUGGGGGGUAAAAUCCCGAUUUUUAUGGCGGUAUUUGGGGUGCUUUUUGGGUAUUUGGGGUCUUUUUGCGGGUCUGGACCCCCGCCACUGACCUGUCCCCAUUCCCAGCUAUGGGGUGCUGCCUGUGGGGUUGGGGCCUUUAUGGGGGAAAUAAUGGGGUUGGGGUGGAAAACUGUGGGAAUUUGGGGUAAAAACCCAUAUUUUUAUGGGUAUUUGGGGUUUUUUGGGGUCUUUGGGGUCUUUUUGGGGUCCGUGGACCCCCCCACUGACCUGCCUACCCGAUUCCCACUUAUAGGGUGGUGCUAUGGGGUUGGGGUCCAGUGUCUUUAAUGGGGGAAAUAAUCGGGGUUGGGGUGGAAGACUGGUGGGAUUUAGGGUUAAAAAUCCCAUAUUUUUAUGGUAAUUUGGGGUCUUUUUGGGUUAUUUGGGGGGGUUUGGGGUCUUUUUGGGUCUUUUUUGGGGUCUUUUUGGGGUCGCUUUUUUGGGGUCUGGACCCCCAUGACCUGUCCGCCCCCAUUUCCCGACUUAUAGGUGGUGCUAUGGGGUUGGGACCCAGUGUCUUUAUGGGGGAAAUAAUGGGUUGGGGUGGAAAAAACUGUGGAUUUAGGGUCUGGACCCCCCCAUUGACCUGUCCCCCCCCCAUUCCCAGCUAUGGGGUGCUGCUGUGGGGUUGGAGCCUUUAUGGGGGAAAUAAUGGGGUUGGGGUGGAAGACUGUGGGAUUUGGGGUAAAAAUCCCAUAUUUUAUGGGGUAUUUGGGGUCUUUUUGGGGGUAUUUGGGGUCUUUUGGGGUCUGGACCCCCCCGCACUGACCUGUCCCCCCCCCAUUCCCACUUAUAGGGUGGUGCUAUGGGGUUGGGGCCCAGUGUCUUUAUGGGGGAAAUAAUGGGGUUGGGCUGGAAGACUGUGGGAUUUAGGGUAAAAAUCCCAUAUUUUAUGGGGUCUUUUGGGGUCUUUUUGGGGUCUUUGUGGGGUCUUUGGGGUCUUUUUAGGGUCUGGACCCCCCCACUGAC
RNAcentral lists this long non-coding RNA (1762 nucleotides) under Coturnix japonica (Japanese quail). RNAcentral's name for it is "lncRNA (ENSCJPG00005002711.1)". Lineage: Eukaryota; Metazoa; Chordata; Aves; Galliformes; Phasianidae. The record is from RNAcentral.